Non-coding RNA from Myotis daubentonii (Daubenton's bat), 2680 nucleotides. The record is from the annotation of a RefSeq genome assembly. NCBI's taxonomy places the organism in Eukaryota, Metazoa, Chordata, Mammalia, Chiroptera, Vespertilionidae.
GGACCACAUUAUCAAUCUUGAAGGUGGUACUAUCAUGCCAGUAACAGGCUAUAAGCUCUGUGAAACUCCUGUGAUUUGGCCAAAACCCCUCAUGGGAAACAGAACAGCUGCCGACAAGGGCUGAUUUCCUCAGUCACAAAUGUGUCACAGAGAAGGUGUUGACUCAGAGGAGGGACCAGGCAGAGGGUGAGUUCGGAGGCAGAGCUAUCCCCAAGUGGAGCCAUGCAGAGGAACUGCUUGCUCAUCUAUCUCACCCUCUUCUGGACAGGAGUCAUGUCAGCUAUCGUGUUGGUAUCUCAAGACAAAGUGAUGACUAUGUCCUUGGGGAUGUCUGCCACCCUCAGGUGCUCCUUGAAGGGAGAAACGAUCAGUAACUACUAUAUCAGCUGGUACAGGCAGACCCAGGGUAACACAAUGACUUUCAUACACCGAGAAGGGGGCAUGUAUGGCCGUGGUUUCUUCGGCAAGUUCCGGGCUAACAUUAAUGAUUCAAGCAAUGAGGCUGAGCUUGAGAUCCUUAAAGCAUCAGAAAGAGAUGAAGGAAUUUACUACUGUGCCAGCGACUACCACCCUGCUGCUGGCCCACUUCUAAACAAACUCAUCUUCGGAAAAGGAGUCCGUGUAACCGUGGAACCAAAAAGUCAGCCUCCUGCCAAACCAUCUGUUUUCAUCAUGAAAAAUGGGACCAAUGUUGCUUGUCUAGUGAAGGAUUUCUACCCCAAAAAUGUAAAUAUAAGUCUCCAGUCAUCCAAGAAAAUAAUAGAAUUUGACCCUGCUAUCGUCGUCUCUCCCAGUGGGAAGUACAGUGCUGUCAAGCUUGGUCGGUAUGAAGAUUCUAAUUCAGUGACAUGUUCAGUUCAACACAAUGAAGUCUGGUACUCCACUAACUUUGAAAAGAUGGCAAAUUCUUCAGAUAAUCUCAAACCAAUGAAACCUGAAAAAAAACAUCAUACUUCAGAGAUCUACCAUAAACCCAAAGUUCAUGCCGAGAAGGUGAACAUGAUGUCCCUCACAGUGCUGGGGCUCCGAAUGCUGUUUGCCAAGACUGUUGCUGUCAAUUUUCUCUUGACUGCCACGUUAUUUUUCUGUUAAGGCUGACAGGCAGGAGACAGCUACACUUCCAGAAAGAAACCAAAGCCUACAAAAGUGCUUCUAAGGCUUCUGACUUCUCAGUGAUUCAAGUUAACCCGCCCCAGCCUUGCUUAAAUGGCUGCUUCCCAAACAAGUUUCUCUUUGAAAGCAACAAACCCAGCUCGUCCUCCAGCCUCGUGGAAAGACCAAGUCCUGGGGGGUAGAGUUAUGGUCCUGAGUGCUUUAUAUGCUGCUUUAUAAAUGGAUAUAGAGAUAAAAGGGGACAGAGGGCUCAUUUUUUAUUUCUACAAUUGAUACACUUUGAAAAUGGUGUCUUGUUCCUUUUACUUUCUUUGCCUUCAGGACUAGAAAGUAGGAGCCAACAGGUUCCCAGCUCUGUUCUCCAAGAGGAAAGCAGACUCUGGGAGGAAGGAGGCAGGUGUCCUUUACCUUAACAUGAAAGGCUCUGCUCAACCCAGCACUGGAUCGGCCCCAAACUGGCAUCUCAUCCACAAAAGCACUUUCUGCUCUUUCUACUACUUUACAAACAAAAUUACAUUUGACUCCCUAACACUCUCCGUGUAGGCAGUGUGGGUAUUUUAAUAUCAUCUAAAUACUCUCCAAGUCAUUCACAGAGAUCAGAGUAAGACAGAGGAAAUGCACUUCUUUCUAUUAAUUCAUUUAACAAACAUGAAUUGACUCCCUCUAAAAUUCCAGGCACUGUGCUGAGGGUGCAAAGAUGAACAAGACAGGAGCUUGCCUUCAAGCAACUUACUAUGUAGGUAUUUUUGGAAGGAGGGAUAGAAAUGAGAGCCCUAGAUUUUCCCUGUAGAACCCCUGUAUCCACUCUCUCUUGCCUGCCAGUCUCUGCAUGGAGAGUUGGCGAUCACUGGACACUGACUCUGGCCUGGGCCCUUGGUUUGCAUGGCUUUCUGCCAUUCUUCUCUGACCUGUCUCUGUUGUAUUUAUUAAAGCGUAUUGUGUGUGCCUCACCUCUGGCUUUACCCUAUUGUGACCACCACAGGCAGAAAUUUACCACAGGGCGCUAUGAAUUCACUGUUGGUCAGACUAAGCUUAUUGGUCAAACCCCAGCUUCCUGAGCCCCCAGCCUUCAGGCUUUCUGCCUCAGGGGCCCAGCCCUGGGUUUCCUGUUGUUGCUGCUUCUGCUACAGCAAUUCACAACAGCAGUGUCCCCAGGAUAGCCCAUGAGCUCUGCUACUCCCGCCUCAGCAAGGCCACAGCUGUUUCCAGGUGCAUGCACUUAGGUAGCAGAGCCCUAGCAACCCAGUAUUGUGGUUUCCUCAGCACCCACAUGGGUGUCAAGUGGGGGCUUAUGAGGUUACAAGUGAAAGAGCACCCCUCACCAGCAACUCCCUUGCCAUCACCAUCAGCAAACUCCCACAUCAUGUCCUCAUAGCCCAAAUCAAAGAAAGGAGGCAGUAGCACUGAGUCAAUGGGGUGAGGGCAAUCUAAAUGGAUAAACCAGGUCCGUCCAGGUAAAAACCAUGAAAAGAUUCCACACAGCUUCAUCUUGUAUAUGUAAAGAAUGCUUGUUUCCAAAACAUUCACAUCUGUUACCUUGAGUCACAUUAAAAUGUUUCUCUGAAGU